UAUAAAUGGAAGGGUCAAAUAUAGGUCUUAUAAAUUCUUCCUUCGUUUUUUCUCACUCGCUCUUUCACUUUCUCAUUUCAGUAUUUAUUAAAUGGGUGACUCUGUCUUCGAAUACGCGCCAAAUGAACCCACAAAUGUUCCUACCAAAUACACUCUUCAACCCUCCUUUCAUAUUUCCCCAUUCUUUUGUUACCAGAGGAAGCUCAAACCGCAAUAAGAAUCCGAGUAGAAAAAAAUUGGCAAGGCGUAAGGCCGGGAGAAAAGGGCUCGUCAACAGCCUACGGUUUUGUUUUGUUUUAAAGCCUUUACCCUCUCUCUUUCCCUUUGCUGUUUCGCUCUUCUGCUAGUGUUAAAUCAGGGUCUUCUUCCCCUCCCCUUCCCCUCUAUCUCCUCCAACAAACAGCCAAUGGAUAGAUAACAGAAAGUAGAGAAGUCAAAGCCAGAACCACCCAUUAACGAGAAUGAGAUCCGAAUCAAUUCCAAAGGCGCUAUUGGAAACUACAUCAACUAUGCUAUUGCUCUUCUUCAGGUUUUAAAGAUGAACUUUCAGGGCUCAGAAACCAUGAAUUUUCCCCUGAAUUUGGGAUUGUGCUAGAUGCUGAUCAUCUUGAUGCAAUUGGUGCUAUAGGAAUUGCUCACUGUUUUAGUUUUGGUGGAAACAGAAACAGAGUUCUUCAUGAUCCUGCCAUCCAGCCACGAUCAGACUUAUCCAAGGAAUGGUACAUGAAGAAAGAGGAGCAGAUCAUGAGAAGCUUCUCAAGUUAAAGGAUUUGAUGAAAACUAAGGCUGGGCAAAGGAGGGCCAAGAAAAGGCACAAGCUCAUGGAGGAAUUCCUUAAAGAACUUUAUAAGGAUUGGGAUAGGAAGGCUUGAAUGAAGUGAUAUUUCUCCACCUAGAUACAGUAUAAUUGCUUAUCAGAAGGCAGUCUUGAAAACAUUAUGAAUGUUGAUAAUUUUCAGAAUUUGGACAGAACUUUUGGUGGGAAAAUAGUAUUAUUAGGAGGUGAUUUCCAACAAUUUUACCAAUUGUCCCAUCUGGAUCAAAAAAUUGUCUUAAGAAUCAUAAAUUUUGUGUACUUUGACCAAUUACAAUUGCAAUUUUUUGGACAAAUGGUCUGCAAAUGUAAAAAAUAGUACACAAAUUGUUGCUUGGCAACUUACAUGCAUAGGAACAGAGCUGAAGAGGGAAUAUCAUAUGAGCUUUUCUUUUUUUCUGAAAUUUCAAUAUGUGAUAGAUAAAAACAGGGUGAGCCUGAGCUCCCCACCAAUAUGAGUUUUUCUAAUCAUGGCUCUAACUGCACUUAUGAGCUAAUACAUGUAAUUGAUUUUGUAUCAA
This 1335-nucleotide small RNA is filed under the name Theobroma cacao (cacao). RNAcentral describes it as "sRNA Tc08v2_g009080". Lineage: Eukaryota; Viridiplantae; Streptophyta; Magnoliopsida; Malvales; Malvaceae. The record is from RNAcentral.